Molecule: long non-coding RNA, 1017 nt
Filed under: Cairina moschata (Muscovy duck)
Lineage: Eukaryota; Metazoa; Chordata; Aves; Anseriformes; Anatidae
Description: domestica (muscovy Duck (domestic type)) lncRNA (ENSCMMG00000011741.1)
Source: RNAcentral
UUUUUUUAAAAAGUUUUUUUUUUUUUUAGAAAUCAAACACAAAGCUUGAGGAUCUCUAAAAUAAUUCAGAGCUGCGGUGCUGCGCUUCUGCAGGAGAGACAAUUUCUUCUGAUGACAGAAGCCAGAGGAAAAAAAAAAAAAUGGUGUUUUGGAAGAAAUACAAAGCAUAAAUCUUGCUCUCAGUGGGACUAGUGCAAGUCUAUUGUAAUUCCCUGUCAGGACACUGAGGUACUGUAGGUUUGUACCUGUGCCACUGAGAACUGAACAGGGACUGUGAAGUUUUCACUGCAGCAACAGGGCAAAACUUUCUGUGCACUCUGUGCACUUUUCCCAAAGGUUUGUGUCCUUGUUUUAAGCUGCGUUUUCUGGAUCUGCGGUCAACUGGCCCUGAGGGGUGUCUGAGUGCUUUACAAUCCCUGUGACAGCCUCUCGGUGAGUGCCGCUUACCAGGAAUAGUGCUCUGUGCCUCAUACAGCACGUAACAAACAGGAGUAAAAGAGCAAGCACUCCCCUUUCCUUUUGCUUUCUCCAAAUCCAGGAUCUGAUGGACAUGUGCUCCCUGGACCUCAACAUGCAGGCCAGCCACUUUCUGGAAGAAAGAAAGCCCUUUUCUGUUUGAGAUGGAGGCACCAGUUCUGUGGAUGUUUUCACAACCCACACGGAUGGUGCCUGGCUGCUGUAAGCUAUUUCCAUCCCUGCAAAGUGGUGAGUGGCUCACAGAGGGGACACCCAGCCAAGGGUAGGAGCUCCAGGAGCUGAGUAUAACCCUGUGCUUUCAAAGAAGUGAAAUAUUGACAGAAGUAGCUGUACUUCUCUGCUGCGCUAGAAUGAAUAAUAGCCAGGUGAAUUUUGUUUUGCACAUUAGUUAAAUUUAAAAAAAAAAAAAUGUCACUGUAGGAUAUAAUGCAGUACAUAGCAGAGCCAGCAAGAAGAAAAGAAAACAUUUCUGUGAGCAAAUAUAAAUCCUGGGAACUGCAGACCCUGGCAGCUGUAAUGGCAGUAAAUUUUUAAGAUGGU